RNAcentral lists this ribosomal RNA (497 nucleotides) under uncultured bacterium. Its description in RNAcentral is "partial 16S ribosomal RNA". It matches the Rfam family "Bacterial small subunit ribosomal RNA", at positions 28 to 507 of the family's 1533-position model. The record is from RNAcentral.
GAUGAACGCUGGCGGCGUGCCUAAUACAUGCAAGUCGAGCGAACAGACGAGGAGCUUGCUCCUCUGACGUUAGCGGCGGACGGGUGAGUAACACGUGGAUAACCUACCUAUAAGACUGGGAUAACUUCGGGAAACCGGAGCUAAUACCGGAUAAUAUAUUGAACCGCAUGGUUCAAUAGUGAAAGACGGUUUUGCUGUCACUUAUAGAUGGAUCCGCGCCGCAUUAGCUAGUUGGUAAGGUAACAGCUUACCAAGGCAACGAUGCGUAGCCGACCUGAGAGGGUGAUCGGACACACUGGAACUGAGACACGGUCCAGACUCCUACGGGAGGCAGCAGUAGGGAAUCUUCCGCAAUGGGCGAAAGCCUGACGGAGCAACGCCGCGUGAGUGAUGAAGGUCUUCGGAUCGUAAAACUCUGUUAUUAGGGAAGAACAAAUGUGUAAGUAACUAUGCACGUCUUGACGGUACCUAAUCAGAAAGCCACGGCUAACUACGUG